GAUGAACGCUGGCGGCGUGCCUAAUACAUGCAAGUCGAGCGAACAGACGAGGAGCUUGCUCCUCUGACGUUAGCGGCGGACGGGUGAGUAACACGUGGAUAACCUACCUAUAAGACUGGGAUAACUUCGGGAAACCGGAGCUAAUACCGGAUAAUAUAUUGAACCGCAUGGUUCAAUAGUGAAAGACGGUUUUGCUGUCACUUAUAGAUGGAUCCGCGCCGCAUUAGCUAGUUGGUAAGGUAACGGCUUACCAAGGCGACGAUGCGUAGCCGACCUGAGAGGGUGAUCGGCCACACUGGAACUGAGACACGGUCCAGACUCCUACGGGAGGCAGCAGUAGGGAAUCUUCCGAAAUGGGCGAAAGCCGGACGGAGCAACGCCGCGUGAGUGAUGAAGGUCUUCGGAUCGUAAAACUCUGUUAUGAGGGAAGAACAAAUGUGUAAGUAACUAUGCACGUCUUGACGGUACCUAAUCAGAAAGCCACGGCUAACUACGUG
This 497-nucleotide ribosomal RNA is filed under the name uncultured bacterium. RNAcentral's name for it is "partial 16S ribosomal RNA". It matches the Rfam family "Bacterial small subunit ribosomal RNA", at positions 28 to 507 of the family's 1533-position model. The record is from RNAcentral.